RNAcentral lists this ribosomal RNA (407 nucleotides) under uncultured bacterium. RNAcentral's name for it is "bacterial SSU rRNA". It matches the Rfam family "Bacterial small subunit ribosomal RNA", at positions 355 to 776 of the family's 1533-position model. The record is from RNAcentral.
UCGGGAAUAUUGGGCAAUGGAGGAAACUCUGACCCAGCAAUACCGCGUGAAGGAUGAAGGUCUUCGGAUUGUAAACUUCUGUUAUAAAGGAAGAAUAAAAUGACGGUACUUUAUAAGUAAGCCCCGGCAAACUAUGUGCCAGCAGCCGCGGUGAUACAUAGGGGGCAAGCGUUGUCCGGAAUGACUGGGUGUAAAGGGUGUGUAGGUGGCUUAUUAAGUUGGAAGUGAAAGCCCGGGGCUCAACUCCGGAACUGCUUUCAAAACUGGUUGGCUUGAGUGUGGGAGAGGUUAGUGGAACUCCUAGUGUAGCGGUGGAAUGCGUAGAUAUUAGGAAGAACAUCAGAGGCGAAGGCGACUAACUGGAACAUUACUGACACUGAAACACGAAAGGGUGGGUAGCAAACAGG